CCUACGGGAGGCAGCAGUGGGGAAUUUUGCGCAAUGGGCGAAAGCCUGACGCAGUAACGCCGCGUGGAGGAUGAAGGCCUUCGGGUUGUAAACUCCUGUCAGGGGGAACGAUGGAACAUUGGCGAAUAGCUUGUGUUCCAAGACGGUACCUCCAAAGGAAGCCCCGGCUAAUUCCGUGCCAGCAGCCGCGGUAAUACGGAAGGGGCAAGCGUUGUUCGGAAUUAUUGGGCGUAAAGGGCGCGUAGGCGGUCUCGUAUGUCCGCUGUGAAAGCACACGGCUCAACCGUGUUGGGUCGGUGGAAACUGCGAGACUUGAGGCUGGAAGGGGCUGGUGGAAUUCCCCAUGUAGCGGUGAAAUGCGUAGAGAUGGGGGAGAACACUCGUGGCGAAGGCGGCCAGCUGGACCAGUUCUGACGCUGAGGCGCGAAAGCGUGGGGAGC
RNAcentral lists this ribosomal RNA (440 nucleotides) under uncultured bacterium. Its description in RNAcentral is "bacterial SSU rRNA". It matches the Rfam family "Bacterial small subunit ribosomal RNA", at positions 338 to 769 of the family's 1533-position model. The record is from RNAcentral.